Molecule: ribosomal RNA, 459 nt
Filed under: Pseudomonas sp. 8-F104
Lineage: Bacteria; Pseudomonadati; Pseudomonadota; Gammaproteobacteria; Pseudomonadales; Pseudomonadaceae
Description: bacterial SSU rRNA
Rfam family: Bacterial small subunit ribosomal RNA
Source: RNAcentral
UGCAGUCGAGCGGUAGAGAGAAGCUUGCUUCUCUUGAGAGCGGCGGACGGGUGAGUAAUGCCUAGGAAUCUGCCUGGUAGUGGGGGAUAACGUUCGGAAACGGACGCUAAUACCGCAUACGUCCUACGGGAGAAAGCAGGGGACCUUCGGGCCUUGCGCUAUCAGAUGAGCCUAGGUCGGAUUAGCUAGUUGGUGAGGUAAUGGCUCACCAAGGCGACGAUCCGUAACUGGUCUGAGAGGAUGAUCAGUCACACUGGAACUGAGACACGGUCCAGACUCCUACGGGAGGCAGCAGUGGGGAAUAUUGGACAAUGGGCGAAAGCCUGAUCCAGCCAUGCCGCGUGUGUGAAGAAGGUCUUCGGAUUGUAAAGCACUUUAAGUUGGGAGGAAGGGUUGUAGAUUAAUACUCUGCAAUUUUGACGUUACCGACAGAAUAAGCACCGGCUAACUCUGUGCCAG